GGGUCAGUAGGUUGGUCGUGCCACCGGUACGUACUGGUCUCACUGAUUCCUCCUUCCUGAAGAACCGUAAUGCCAUCAAUUUGGUGUUGCGGGGAAACAGGACUGUUACUUUGAAAAAAUUAGAGUGUUUAAAGCAGGCUAACGCUUGAAUACAUUAGCAUGGAAUAAUGAAAUAGGACGAUCGAUCCUAUUUUGUUGGUUUCUAGGAUUGACGUG
Molecule: ribosomal RNA, 216 nt
Filed under: Glomeromycotina sp.
Lineage: Eukaryota; Fungi; Glomeromycota
Description: partial small subunit ribosomal RNA
Rfam family: Eukaryotic small subunit ribosomal RNA (bases 40-216)
Source: RNAcentral